AAAGAAUCAUCUAAAGGAAUGCGGAGAUCAGAGAAGAAGGAUGGGAAAGUUACCACAGCCUGCAAAUGAGAAAUGAUGAGAGCCUGCCUGGGACAAAGAAUCUACGAUAGAUCUUCUCCAGCAGCUCUGGAGGUCAGACCCAGCUGUGUAAAGAAUCAUUCCUAGAAAACUGGAAGGCAUGUUGGGAGACUACUACUUUCUGUGGAUGAAUGGGAAAUUCAAGACAUGAGAAAAUGGAUGGGCAGGAUGGAAAUACCACUGUUUUGCCAGGACGAUUAAAUAUCAUUGAUGCUUCUGGUCUACAAUUAGUCCCAGAGGAGAUCAAAAAAUGAUGAGUAUUCAAGAAGGAAAGUGUUUGCUUUAACAUAUGAAGAAAAGGACCUUCAGAGUGGUGAUUAACCCCAGAAUUGUGUGGAACGGAUAUGGAAACAAGACCACAGGAGCAUCGAGAACUGAGCAGAACUGAAAGUGACAUGAAAAUCAGCUGCAAGAUUCACCUCAGGGUGAGAAUGGGCUGCAGGUGGCUGCAGGAAUCCCGGGACAUUCUAGGCACUGUCACAUUUUCUUAGGGGCCAGUAAGGCUGGCUAUCAUCAGAUGUACCUGAUGAUACAAACAUGGGCUGUCUUGCCUUCUAGUAUUCAUUCUUGGUGAUUGCAUACAGAGCUUACUCUGGAGGUGCAGAUCAACUCUUCUUCGGGCUCAUCCAUGCCACUUGAGCGGGCUCUCAUCCCCAUUCCCAGGGGCUUAUGACAAUCAAGGUUUCUACUCCUCCAUGUCUCCAUGGUUUUUCUCCCCAUGGGAAGCACAUAAUCCCAUUAGAGGCCACAGGAAGCUUUUUUGUUGAGCUUUGAGGGAAAAAAGGCUUUUGCAGUCAAUGAAUCGAUCA
Molecule: long non-coding RNA, 887 nt
Filed under: Pongo abelii (Sumatran orangutan)
Lineage: Eukaryota; Metazoa; Chordata; Mammalia; Primates; Hominidae
Description: lincRNA
Source: RNAcentral